Molecule: non-coding RNA, 46 nt
Filed under: Trypanosoma brucei brucei
Lineage: Eukaryota; Euglenozoa; Kinetoplastea; Trypanosomatida; Trypanosomatidae
Source: RNAcentral
AUAUAAUUACACACACAGAUACGUGAUAUAUAGAGUGUUAAGAUAA